Silurus meridionalis is the source of this 735-nucleotide long non-coding RNA. RefSeq lists it as uncharacterized. The record is from RefSeq and is a predicted model, not a curated record. Lineage: Eukaryota; Metazoa; Chordata; Actinopteri; Siluriformes; Siluridae. The transcript has 3 exons.
CACGUGUUUUCUCCUGCCUGGAUCUGUCACAAUUUUAACCUGUUUACUUACAUUUUACCAUCAUCAUCAUCAUCAUUAAUAUCAUCUUAUCCAACUCUCUGCAGUGUUCUGUACAGUUUUUUCCAUUCCAUGGCAGAAGAUAGAAAGCAUAAUUUAAAGUGAAACAUCACACAGCUUCGAAACGACUUGAAGAUGGGUCGCCAGAGUCCAGUGAAGUCUAACACGAGUCGAGGAGAAAAUCCUGAAGGUCCUGAAGAUACCAAAGAUUCAGAAGAUUUAGAAGAUCCUAGGGAUUCAGAAGGUUCUGAAUAUUCACAAGUUCCUGAAAAUUUAGAAAGCCCUAAAGAUUCAGAAGGUCCGGAAGAUCCAAUUGAAGAACCUCAGACAAACAGAAGAAAUUCGCUGGUUAUUCCUCCUGAUUUCUCAUUAGAAAAUCUACUCUCUAGCAGUGUAGGGGAGAGCGAGAACAGAACAGAACCAUAAAUAUACACACAAAUUGCUUGAUGGUUUACUAAAUUUGUUUACUAAAAUUAAAUAUUUCACAGCAUCUGAACAACAUUUCAAUGGCAGCUUCGAUAAACACUAAACCUUUAAGAUCUUCAGAGGAGAAAUUAUACCCAGAGGUGACCAUCUGCUGUUCCUCUGUAUUUCUGUAUGUGUGUGAAUAUGAACAUACAUACAUACAUAUUUAUUUUUUUAUUUUUUUAUUCACGGUCGGUACAUAUCCUCAGACCU